Molecule: long non-coding RNA, 882 nt
Organism: Saccostrea echinata
Lineage: Eukaryota; Metazoa; Mollusca; Bivalvia; Ostreida; Ostreidae
Exons: 2
Source: RefSeq, a predicted model, not a curated record
CAACCAAUUUUACUAAUAGAAAGUGUUACAGAACAAAAUAUUUUCGAAGGACCAUGAUAAUACAUUUAUGCCAAGAACAAUUUGUAUGGAAACCGUCCAAACACAAAUAUGGCGGAUCGUGGAGUUGUCACAUAGUCAUGAUUGUGCUGUAAACAACGACUUUUCUUCGCAUCUACAAGCCUGUCACGAUAUUUUAGCUCUGGCAGUUAUGGGUGAAUAUACAGCGAAAUCAUACAGAUUCGGAUGAAAAUGAUAAAGAUAGUAAAGUCAAAGACAGUUUGAUGAACCAAAUGACACUGAUAAAGAAGAAGAUACAAAAAAUUAUACUUCUAGCCAGCAUGUGACUUUGAAGCCGAUAGUUUGGUAACCACCUCAAAUCAGUGAUAUGUUUUUCUGACAUCCAUUCAACAUUUGAAACUAGCUAUUCCUCGCUUUAGAAAUUGUUCAUACGUAGAGCAUGUUUUUGCAUAUUGAAUCAACUGAGAGAUAUAAACCCUGUAUGCAGGUGAUGACAGUAUAGGAGAGCCAUUUCUUAUGCCGUGCUUUGAGCAAAAUAUGUUUAGUUGAAAUGAAAUGCGAAGUGAAAACUUAAAUUGACAGAUGAAGAAAAUUUACCACUCCAUCCUUCUGUAUGGUCUUCUGAAUUUAAAGCCACUUGAAAACCAACUUAAAGUUAAGAGGAACACUUUAUCUUCGGUGAAACAUUCUGGAAAAUAUUACUUCUACAUGGAAAGAAAAGUUGUAUUAAUACUUGAUGUUGUAUUGCAAGAUGGCCAAGUUUGUAUGACCAGUGCUUUUGAAAAAAAAACUAUGCUUGCACUCAGUUUCCCAUGAACAAAGCAUUCUAAAGAUAAAGUGUAGAAUUUAAUUCUAAUGGAUAAA